RNAcentral lists this small RNA (78 nucleotides) under Flavobacterium enshiense DK69. RNAcentral's name for it is "Flavobacterium sp. DK69 Flavo-1 RNA". It matches the Rfam family "Flavo-1 RNA". The record is from Rfam by way of RNAcentral. Lineage: Bacteria; Pseudomonadati; Bacteroidota; Flavobacteriia; Flavobacteriales; Flavobacteriaceae.
UUUUAGCCCUGAUGGGAACGGCAUCUUUUUGUCCCGUCCUAAACGGGACAAAAAAUAUAGUGGACAGCAGGAGCAGUU